UACGGAAGGCAGCAGUGGGGAAUAUUGCACAAUGGGCGAAAGCCUGAUGCAGCUAUGCCGCGUGUAUGAAGAAGGCCUUAGGGUUGUAAAGUACUUUCAUCGGGGAGGAAAAAACAAAACUAAUAAUUUUAUUUCUUGACGUUACCCGAAAAAGAAGCACCGGCUAACUCCGUGCCAGCAGCCGCGGUAAUACGGAGGGUGCCAGCGUUAAUCAGAAUUACUGGGCGUAAAGAGCACGUAGGUGGUUUUUUUAAGUCAGAUGUGAAAUCCCUGGGCUUAACCUAGGAACUGCAUUUUUGAAACUGAAAUACUAGAGUAUCGUAGAGGGAGGUAGAAUUCUAGGUGUAGCGGUGAAAUGCGUAGAUAUCUGGAGGAAUACCUGUGGCGAAAGCGGCCUCCUAAACGAAUACUGACACUGAGGUGCGAAAGCGUGGGGAGCAAACAGGGAUUAGAUACC
This 457-nucleotide ribosomal RNA is filed under the name uncultured bacterium. RNAcentral's name for it is "bacterial SSU rRNA". It matches the Rfam family "Bacterial small subunit ribosomal RNA", at positions 340 to 786 of the family's 1533-position model. The record is from RNAcentral.